Molecule: ribosomal RNA, 371 nt
Filed under: uncultured bacterium
Lineage: Bacteria
Description: bacterial SSU rRNA
Rfam family: Bacterial small subunit ribosomal RNA
Source: RNAcentral
GUAGGGUGCGAGCGUUAAUCGGAAUUACUGGGCGUAAAGUGUGCGCAGGCGGCGUCGCAAGUCGAGUGUGAAAGCCCCGGGCUUAACUUGGGAAUUGCGCUCGAAACUACGAUGCUGGAGUGUGGCAGAGGAAGGUGGAAUUCCACGUGUAGCGGUGAAAUGCGUAGAGAUGUGGAGGAACACCAAUGGCGAAGGCAGCCUUCUGGGCCAACACUGACGCUCAUGCACGAAAGCGUGGGGAGCAAACAGGAUUAGAUACCCUGGUAGUCCACGCCCUAAACGAUGAUGACUAGUUGUUGGGGGAGUUAAAUCCCUUAGUAACGCAGCUAACGCGCGAAGUCAUCCGCCUGGGGAGUACGGUCGCAAGAUUA